Molecule: unclassified non-coding RNA, 6519 nt
Filed under: Pectinophora gossypiella (pink bollworm)
Lineage: Eukaryota; Metazoa; Arthropoda; Insecta; Lepidoptera; Gelechiidae
Description: uncharacterized LOC126369361
Source: RNAcentral
ACGCCCAUUAUUAGCGUUAGUUAUUUUUAACGUUAUCGCAUUAUUUUUUACCUGUGGUAUCAUUACUGCAGCGCCCUCUGGCGAGCCACUUAACUUUUGGUUGCCAAUUUUCAAAAUGGCUACAAUCCGCGCCUUCUAACUUCUCCGCACCCCGCAAUUUUGUUUUUGUUUAAACCGCUGACGUUAUUCAACCCCCUUGUGCCACAAACACACCUAUUGUACACACAACAACUCAAAAAUACAUCAUAACACUUCAAACAUUCGAAAAGUGGUGAGUGAUAAUUUUAGUUCCCGCGCGACCCCUUGGUAAGUGAUUUUACUUUUUGUAAACACUAUUUUCAGUAUUAUAUUCCCGCCUAGCCUACGCUCAACGGCCACCAGGGGAAGCUGGUGCCCGGCGUAGCUAUAGAAUUUGGUGCCUCCUGUGAGGAUUAGUCCUCAAAACAUUGUUUGUCGACCGCGUUUUCUCGUGUUACCCGCCAUUUUCUUGUUAGAAAAAAUUGGAAAUUAUUUUCUAUGUAUUUCAGCUUUCUUCGAAUUUAAACCUUAAUAAUCCGCCUUAUAACUACUAUUACUACUGUAAUUUACAUAUUUUUUGUGUGUGUAAAGCGGCAUAAUCGCAUAUUUUCUUAUAAUUUUGUCCACCGCAUUUUUCUUGUGUGUUGCGUCACUAUGGCGCCACCCACUGAGAAAGAUUUUCGCAAAAAAAUAUACAUUCUCGAAUCACGCCGCGAUGCUUAUUAUGCACGUAUGCAACGUAUUUAUGAUAGCCGUCCUUCUAUUUCAAAGGUAGAAUCUUGUGAUUUAUUUCUUUCACAAUGUGAAACAAUUGACGACAUCCGCAAGGAAUUUAUGGCCACCAUUAACGACAUAAAUUCACUGAAUAUGGAGUUAGAUCCCGAAUUCAUUCCUGAUUUUAAUUCAUGGAGUGGUUUUGAAGACAUUUAUUGUGCUAUUCGACAUACAAAAAAUGUAUUGAAUCGUAAUGUAAAACAAGACGAACAGCCUAGGUCGUGUUACGCGAAAUUACCUCCCAUCGAGAUACCUGAUUUCAAUGGGAACCCCGCACAAUGGAGUUUAUUCUAUGAAACCUUCAAAUCCACUGUUCAUUCCAACAUGUCGCUAUCGAAGUCUGAGAAGUUAUAUUACUUGUUGGGACGUUUGAAGGGACCCGCGCAGCUAGUAUUUUCCGGCAUAAGUCCCACCGCUGAUAACUACGAAUGCAUUUGGAACGCAUUAGUAACCAAAUAUCAAGACAAGCGUUUUUUAGCAAAUGUAUUUCUUGACAACAUUUUUGAUUCAAAGGCUUUGCCGAACCCCGCUACCGCGUCUCAGUUGGAAACGUUUAUAGAUAAGUUUGCCGCAUCUGUCGCCGCGCUAAAACAAUUAAAUAUUGUAGGCCUGAGCGAUUAUAUUUUUAUUUAUCUCGCUUUGAAACGUUUGGACCGUGACACCGCAAAAGCAUUUGAAAUGUUUGUUCGUGACACUGACAUACCUACUUAUGAUCAGUUUAUCGACUUCAUGAAGGGCCAAGUUAAGAUUAUACAACGCACUAACAACACGGCUACUUCGUCGAAAGUUGUUCAAAAGGAUGUUGUUAAACCAAAAAUGGUUUCCCCUCCUAAAAUUACGCAUACUUACAUUUCCGCGACUUCUCAUAAUAAUUCUGACUCUGUAUGUUCUUUGUGUAAUGCAAAUCACGAACACAUUUACAACUGUAAAGCAUUUCUUGACAUGUCCCCCGCAAACAGACAUACAUUUAUUAUGGAAAAUAAAUAUUGUACUAACUGUCUCAGUUCCAAACAUAAAUGGACCGCUUGUAAAAGCACGAGUUCUUGUCGCAAUUGUGGCUAUCGACAUCACACUUUAAUUCAUUUAUCUAAAACCGCUUAUGUAAACGAGGAUAGAAAGUUGUCCCGUACUCCUCUCGUAAAACCGCAGGUGGACAAACCGCAGCAAGUCUCAUCAACGCCGCAAGACGCCGAGUCACCCCACCACGCUGAUCGACAUGCAACGACGUCGUGUAUGCCGGUCUCUCUCCCGCAAAGACCUCAGCCGCAUAACCAUGUCUCUUCUCCCGCUCCCGCACACUCGGUGGACGUACCCAUCACAGGCAGUGUUUCUUAUCUGUCUGCUGAUAAUCCGCGCGCGAAUUUUAACUCGCAGAACCCGCCACUUAGUACAUCUGUUGUAUUAGGUACCGCUUGUGUUUACGUCCGCGAUCGUUAUGAUAAUCUCGUCCUAUGUCGUUGUAUUAUCGAUCCGGGCUCGCAAAACAACUUCAUUACCGCUUCUUGUUGUCGCAAAUUAGGGUUAAACAUUGAACAAUUAAACCGCAAAACUAUUAUUAAAGGUUUAGGUGACCAUUCGAGUACCGCUCGCGGAAAAACACAUUUAACUUUUCAUAGCCGCGUAAACGCUGAGCAAAGCUACUCGAUGGACACUCUAGUCCUCAAUACAAUCACCGAAAAGUUGCCAACCGUCCCGAUAAAUAUUUCAUCGUGUGACUAUUUAAAAACAAUACCGCUCGCUGAUGAUAACUUUUCUUCGCCCUCUGAUAUUGAGAUUCUUAUCGGUGCUAAACUGUUUGUUGACAUUCUAUUACCGGAUAAAAUAGUCGGACCGCCGUACUGUCCGUCCGCUUUUUCCACCACUCUCGGUUAUAUAGUGAUGGGCGAUGCUCAGGUUGAUACGGAACCCGUAAGUUCUGUUUCUUACUUCGCUACCGGCGAAUCUAUACAUGACGAUCUGGAAAAGUUCUUCAAGUUAGAGGACUUAAAAGAUAAACCCGUUUUAUCUCAUGACGAUCGAGAGUGUGAGUCAUUUUAUCAAUCGACAACCUUACGUGACGGCUCUGGACGUUUUACCGUAGGACUACCUUUUAAAGAGAACCCUAAUUUACUAGGCGAUUCAUUAAAAACCGCACGCAAUCGUUUUUUAUCUCUUGAACGCAAGUUUCAAAAAAACCCGCAUUUUAAAGCCAGAUAUGACGAGGUCAUACGCGAGUACCUAGACAAGGGUUAUUUACUAGAAAUACUCGAACCCAAAACCAAUAGUGAGGGUUUUGUUUUACCGCAUCACGGGGUACUUCGCGAAGAUAAAUCGUCUUCAAAACUUCGCAUUGUUUUGAACGCAAGUGAGAAAACCAGUUCCGGUACCUCACUCAAUGACAUUCUACAUACUGGCCCCGCAUUACAAUCGGAUUUGUUUAAUAUUUUAUUGAAUUUUAGACUGUUUGGUACCGCUGUAACCGCAGACAUUCGUCAAAUGUAUUUACAAAUACUUACCCGCGAGCAAGAUCAACCUUAUCAACAAAUCAUUUACCGUUUCGACCCCCGCGAACCUCUACGUUUCUUCGCUUUUAACCGCGUUUGUUUUGGACUCCGCUCGAGUCCUUUCUUAGCUAUCCGCACCAUUCAUGAGCUCGCUCAUCAAGAGAAAGAAAGGUUUCCUCUCGCAGCGACUCUCGCGUUCCGCGACUUAUAUAUUGAUGACAUAGCUAGCUCGUUCGCUACAACGGACGAAGCAGUUACCGCCGCGCAACAGCUGAUUGAUAUGUUCAGCGCCGGUUGUUUUGAAAUGGUUAAAUGGUCGAGUAAUGCCCGCGACGUUUUAUCCGCCGUUCCUGAAUCGCACCGCUUAACAGACCCUGUCGAUCUCGAUAAGGAUGAAUCUUUGAAAAUAUUAGGAAUGCAAUGGUUUCCCGCGAGUGAUUUAUUCAAGUUCACGAUCACUCCGUCCGAUCGAGUUUGUACAAAACGCAAUAUGUUGUCCACUAUCGCCCGCUUAUGGGACAUUUUAGGUCUUGUAGGACCGGUGAUUGUUACCGCGAAAAUUCUAAUAAAGGAGUUGUGCUCGCUCAAGCUCGACUGGGACGACACUCCACCCGACUACAUAGUCCACGCGUGGGAUCGUUUCCAACUGGAGUUACCGCUUCUUUCUAAUUUCAAUUUCCCGCGACAUUUAAAUGUAUUUUCGCAUAGUGAUGUGGUUAUUGUAGGAUUUAGCGAUGCAAGUGAGAAGGCGUACGGGGCUUCUGUUUAUUUACAUGUUGACAACAAUGGUACUCGCUCCACCACCUUGGUGUGUGCGAAGUCAAAAGUGACCCCAAGUAAUCAUGUAGUCACCAUGCCGCGACUUGAGCUGAUGGCAGCGUUACUUCUCGCGAAACUUAUCCGAUCUGUUGUUGAUACCUACUCAACCCGCUGUCAUAUUAGAAAUAUUUACGCGUUUUCGGAUUCAACCAUUGCCUUGCAUUGGAUUAAUUCAUCCCCGCACAGAUUACAGACCUUUGUCGCGAAUAGAGUGUCUAAAAUCAUCGCUUUGUUACCCGCGAAACACUUUUGUCAUAUACCGGGAGUGACAAAUCCUAGUGAUUGUUUAUCUCGCGGCUUGUUGCCUUCGCAACUUAUAAAUCAUUCGCUUUGGUUUACGGGCCCUUCUUGGAUGUCAAUGGACGAGAAGGACUGGCCCAUAACACCGUUCAAGCCGGACGCUUCAGUCGACGUUCCUGAGACGAAAGUGAUUUCUCUCACAUCUACUACCGCGGUAGAUGAAACUCCACUGCUGUGUCAACUCGCCGCCCGCUGUUCCUCUUGGACUAAACUUUUAAGAACGACUGUUUAUAUUUACCGCUUUUUACAUGUUUUACCCCGCUCUGACUUUAUUUCCGCAACGGAUUUAAACUUCGCUGAAAAUAAAAUUUUAUCCGCUUUGCAAUCCGCUCAUUUUAAAGACGAACUUAAAAACAUAACCGCUAGUAAACGCUGUCAAAAGAAAAUUCAAAAGCUCAGUCCUUUCAUUUCACACGGCCUUAUCCGUGUCGGAGGCCGCUUGAAAAACUCGCACCUUUCUUUCGAUCAACAACAUCCCAUUUUAUUACCACGGAAAGAUCACAUAGUUGAUCUAAUUGUCGAUCAUUAUCAUCGCAAGCACUGUCACGCCGGCCCGAACUUGUUGUACAGUUUACUUAGACAGCAGUAUUGGAUUAUCACCGGGCGCCGCACUAUUCGUACACGGAUAGACAAAUGUAACUUUUGUUUCCGCACUCGUCCAAAACCCACGUUUCCUAUUAUGUCCGAUUUACCAUCUGUCCGCACUCAGGUGGUUCCGAAGGCUUUCAUACAUACAGGAUGUGACUAUGCCGGACCGCUAAGUAUUACGCUAAAGCGUGGACGUGGUAUACACAGUCAAAAAGCGUACAUUUGUCUGUUUGUGUGCAUGACCACCCGCGCGAUUCAUAUAGAAUUAGCAUCCGAUCUAAGUACCGCUACUUUUAUCGCUGCAUUCAAACGUUUUCUUUCCCGCCGUGGUCCCAUUUCAGUUUUACAUUCGGACAAUGGUACCAAUUUUGUUGGUGCAAAAUCAUUUUGUACCGAACUUUUUAACUUUAUAACUUCAGAUAGUUACCGCCGCGCUUUAGUUUACGAACUUUCCGAUUAUAAAAUCGAAUUUAAAAAUAUUCCACCGAAUUCACCGCACUUUGGUUCUUGGGAACCUCUAAUUAAAACGGUUAAAACGCACCUGUUUAGGGUGAUAGGAUCACAAAUCCUCACUCUAGAGGAAAUGAACACUGUCUUGUGUCAAAUAGAAAACAUUGUUAACUCGCGCCCACUAUGUAGUACAUUGUCACAAGAUCCAAGUGAACCGCUCGCUAUAACUCCCGCGCAUUUCUUAACACUAACCCCGCUUAAGUUUUUACCAGCGGCCCCAGUCGACGACAAGCCUUUGCAUCUAUUAGACAGAUAUCAGCUGUUAGACAAACUAGUUCAGUCUUUUUGGGACAAGUGGUCCCUAGAAUAUUUAAACACGCUUCAAUCGCGACAGAAAUGGAAUUUUCCUGUUUCCAAUAUUAAACUUGGUACUGUCGUUCUUGUCAUUCAAGACAACAAGGUUCCGCCUUUGCAGUGGGAGUUAGGCAUUGUUACCGAUGUACAUCCUGGUAAAGAUAAUGUUAUCAGGGUUGCUACAAUUAAAACUUCUAAGGGUAGUUUCAAACGGCCGAUUGUUAGGUUGUGCCCUUUACCCACACAGUAGUUUUAGUUUAUUUUUUAUUACCGCAGACACUUAUGCUGCGUUUAGGAUAGUAGUUAUAAGUGUUUCUUAUUUUAUUUUUAUUUUAUUUUCGCAUUCGCGUUUUUUACGCUAAUUCUCUUUGAAAGUUCACCCUUUCAAGGCGGGGUGUGUAGUAACGCCCAUUAUUAGCGUUAGUUAUUUUUAACGUUAUCGCAUUAUUUUUUACCUGUGGUAUCAUUACUGCAGCGCCCUCUGGCGAGCCACUUAACUUUUGGUUGCCAAUUUUCAAAAUGGCUACAAUCCGCGCCUUCUAACUUCUCCGCACCCCGCAAUUUUGUUUUUGUUUAAACCGCUGACGUUAUUCAACCCCCUUGUGCCACAAACACACCUAUUGUACACACAACAACUCAAAAAUACAUCAUAACACUUCAAACAUUCGAAAAGUGUAUUAUAUUCCCGCCUAGCCUACGCUCAACGGCCACCAGGGGAAGCUGGUGCCCGGCG